This is a non-coding RNA of Trichonephila inaurata madagascariensis, 71 nucleotides long. NCBI's taxonomy places the organism in Eukaryota, Metazoa, Arthropoda, Arachnida, Araneae, Nephilidae. The record is from the annotation of a GenBank genome assembly.
GUCCCUGUAGCGCACUGAUAGCGUUUUUGGAAUUCCAUUCAAAGUCGUGGUUUCGAAUCCUACCUGGGAUG